Pelobates cultripes (western spadefoot toad) is the source of this 596-nucleotide non-coding RNA. The record is from the annotation of a GenBank genome assembly. Lineage: Eukaryota; Metazoa; Chordata; Amphibia; Anura; Pelobatidae.
AUUUUGAAUAAAUAAACUAAUUCGAAAGGUAAAUGCACAAAAUAUACAUGCCACAUGUAGUGGAUGAAGUGUGUUUAGACAGGGGAACUGUGUGUGUAGUGGAUGCAGAGUGUGUGUUUGUGUAGUGUGUGUAUAAUGAAUGUAGUGUGUAUAUAAUGCAGUGUGUGUAGUGUGUAUAUAAUGCAGUGUGUUUAUGUAUUGUGUGUGUAUAAUGCAGUGUGUUUUUGUGUGUGUAUGUAAUGCAGUGUGUGUGUUUGUGUAGUGUGUGUAUGUAAUGCAGUAUGUGUAUGUAAUGCAGUGUGUGUUUGUGUAGUGUGUAUGUAAUGCAGUGUGUAUGUAAUGCAGUAUGUGUGUAGUGUGUUUGUGUAGUGUGUUUGUGUAGUGUGUGUGUGUAUGUAAUGCAGUGUGUGUAUGUAAUGCAGUGUGUGUCUGUGUAGUGUGUGUAUGUAAUGUAGUGUGUGUGUGUCUGUGUAGUGUGUGUAUGUAAUGCAGUGUGUGUGUGUCUGUGUAGUGUGUGUGUGUCUGUGUAGUCUGUGUAGUGUGUAUGUAAUGCAGUAUGUAUGUAUGUAAUGCAGUAUGUGUGCAGUGUGUGUUUG